AUGGCCACCAGGCUCCUCUGCUGUGUGGCCCUUUGUCUUCUGGGAAGAAAGUUUACAGAUGCUGGAGUCAUCCAGACACCCAGGCACAAGGUGACAAAGACGGGACAAGAAGUAACCCUGAGAUGCAAGCCUAUUCUGGUCACGCAGCCCUUUACUGGUAUAGAGGGACCUCGGGGCAGGGACCAGAGCUGCUGAUCUACUUCAACAAUCAAGCCCCUAUAGAUGACUCGGGGAUGCCCAAGAAACGGUUCUCAGCAGAGAUGCCUGACAAAUCAUUCUCCACGCUGACGAUCAAGCCCACAGAACCCAAGGACUCAGCCACGUACCUGUGUGCCAGCAGCGUAGAGACAGUGCUGCUGAGUCACCCCCUCCUGGUGCAGAAACCCUCAAGCUUCCCCUUCUGCCUCCAGCCCCCAGCUGUCCUCUGCAGUCUUUCGAAGCUUCUCCGCUGUCAGCACAGGGACGUGGGUCUGGUGUUCUUCAUGUCUCUGGGGAAGGCAAGAACAGAUACUUCUCAGUAUCACAGUAGAAAACUUUUGGUAGGAAGACAAUAG
Molecule: non-coding RNA, 554 nt
Organism: Neomonachus schauinslandi (Hawaiian monk seal)
Lineage: Eukaryota; Metazoa; Chordata; Mammalia; Carnivora; Phocidae
Source: the annotation of a RefSeq genome assembly